Molecule: long non-coding RNA, 1972 nt
Filed under: Homo sapiens (human)
Lineage: Eukaryota; Metazoa; Chordata; Mammalia; Primates; Hominidae
Description: PREDICTED lncRNA (TCONS_00225829)
Source: RNAcentral
CCCCGCCCAGCCCGCGGCCCGCACUCGGCGCGCCUGGCCCCGCCCCCCGCGGGCUUAACCCUCUAGCCGCUGGGCACGCGCGGGCUACCGGGGCGGAGGCGUACGGGGGCGGCGAGCGGGGCUCGGCUCCUCCUCGUCCCGCGCCAGCGCCGCGCCCGGCCGCAUUCUCGGGGCCCGAGGCUCAGCCGCUCGCGGUGGAGAAAGCAGGCCGCGGAGGAGGCGGGCGCCCAGGCCUGCCCGGACAGGAAGUGGGCCCAGCUUUCCCACUCCUCGCUCCGCUCCUUCCUCCGCGGGAAGGGCAGGCCCCGGAGGCAGCGAGCGCCCCGGGGGUGGCCGGGCAGCCGGAUGCUCCCGGGGUUGCGGGCUGUGGCCCCGGGGGCUGAGGGCGGCGCGGGUGCGGCGGAAGCAGGGAAGCCGCGAACCGGCCUUCUGGCUGGCCACAGCGCCCUGCACGGACGAUCAGUGAAUGGAGAUUACUCAAGUAUUUAUCGAGAACUUGCAGUGGGCUAGGCACAGUUCAGGUAGAUCAACAAACCGAAAGACCCUGCCCUAGGGGAGCUUUCGCUCCAAUGCGGGGAGAGGGUGGAUGAUUGCAGUUUUGCCCAGUAAUUUUUGGGACCCUCAUGCCACCAUUAAUUAGCUACACACAUUUCACCGAAAGUCUACCUUACAUAUUAAUCAGAAGAAGUGGAAGAAUAAACACAGAAGAAGCAAAAAAGGAAGGAACUUUCUCACUGAAAGUUUCUAUUUAAUAUUAAGUCUUAAAAGUACUCCUGGAAGGACAAAAGGUGUUCUUAAUAAAUUAUAUUCGCAAAUAUUGGAUUUAAUCCUACCAGUAAUGAAGCAGUCAGUUACUUUCUAGAUGUGCAGAAAUACGUAAUGAACAAAAAAAACUAAUUCCUAUUCCAUUUUUUAUUAGGUCCACAGUUAUUUCACUUCUAAAUAAAUAUGGUUUUUUAAAAGUGGCACGCGGUGGAAUGUAAUUGAGACAGGAUGGAGUUCCUAGAGAAAUUUUACUUCCUCAAUCUGCACUCCACCUUACUUAAAAUACAGUCUUGGGUCUGUAAUUCCCUUAUCUGACUCUCAAGGAAAUGACAAAGUAAUGCCUAGAUUGGACUAAACCUCAUUUAACUUCAAGGCUGACCUUUCUCAAAGUUGAACCUUCGUCUUGUGAGGAACAGAAAGAUCAAGAACUCUGAAGCACCUCGACUUUCCACCUGUGAAGAUGUGUUCAAAUUUGCAACGUGCGGCCACACCUAUGAGGUCACUCCCUCUGGAGGAAACCAGCUGCCACUUUGUGAGGAUACUCAUAGUCCUGUGGAGGCAUAUCCUCCAUAUGGCUGAGACCUCCUGCGAACAACCAUCACUGACUUGCCAGACAUGAGUGUGCCACCUUGGAAGCAGAUUUUCCAGCCCCAGUUAAGCCUUCAGAUGACAUCAGCCCCUGCUAAUCUCUUGACUACAACCUCAUGAGAGACCCUGAGCCAGAACUAGCCAGUGCUCCCUGGGAAGCACUGAUCUUGGAUUUGGCUGCUGUGUGGGAGACCAGUGUUCCUCUUAGCUGAUGGUGGAGACUCACGUCAGUGCAGGCUGCAGCGAUGACUCUCAAACUGUGAACAAUGCUCCCCAGUGUGUGCACGGGAGGGCCAGCAUAUGGAGACCUCGCGGAGAGCCAAACGCGGGCUCUCUGCACUUCCUUCAGUUUUGUUUAAAUACAGGAUCCGGUUUGCCUUUGUCACCCGCUGUAGCACCACCAGGCUUCAUUCACUGUGAAGCCUUGCCAGAUCUCUGUAAUAAAUUACCUGGGAGGCCAAGGCGGGAAAAGAGGAAAGAACAAGGUAAAGCGCUUUGAAAUCUGACUUUCUCCCUGGAGUGUUCAGUGUUGCCUAUUUAGAAGGUGCAGGGUUGUGCUAAGGUGUGUGCUGGGAGCUUUGUAGGCUAAAGUUUGUAGAAAAAGUUUGGUUCAUUUCAG